This 253-nucleotide ribosomal RNA is filed under the name uncultured bacterium. RNAcentral describes it as "partial 16S ribosomal RNA". It matches the Rfam family "Bacterial small subunit ribosomal RNA", at positions 524 to 776 of the family's 1533-position model. The record is from RNAcentral.
UACGUAGGGUGCAAGCGUUGUCCGGAAUUAUUGGGCGUAAAGAGCUCGUAGGCGGUUUGUCGCGUCUGCUGUGAAAACUCAGGGCUUAACCCCGGGCCUGCAGUGGAUACGGGCUGGCUAGAGGCAGGCAGGGGAGAACGGAAUUCCUGGUGUAGCGGUGAAAUGCGCAGAUAUCAGGAGGAACACCUGUGGUGUAGACAGCUUACUGGACCAUUUCUGACGCUGAGACACGAAAGCGUGGGUAGCAAACAGG